AUUUGGGUUGUAACUUGGCCAGGGUAAGGGUGAGAUAGAUCAUAAGGGAUACUAGGCUAAAAUUCAAAAGGUCAAAAGAAAAUUGAAAGAAACUGCGAGAGUUGAACUAUAAAAUACUUCAUUCAUUUUCAACAAACAACCUUGCAGUAAUUUCUCUUCUCUCUUCUCAUUUUGUUCUCUUUUUUUCUAGAAGGAAUAUGUAUUGUCAUCCUUCUUUUUUUCUAUUUUUUAUUUAUUUUUCUUUCUUUUCUUUUCUUUUCUUUUCUUUCUAUAUAUAUAUUUUUUUGUUUUCUGCCAACUUUUGAA
This 306-nucleotide long non-coding RNA is filed under the name Lathyrus oleraceus (garden pea). Its description in RNAcentral is "Pisum sativum (pea) long non-coding RNA (PSAT_LNC038336)". Lineage: Eukaryota; Viridiplantae; Streptophyta; Magnoliopsida; Fabales; Fabaceae. The record is from RNAcentral.